RNAcentral lists this long non-coding RNA (260 nucleotides) under Mustela putorius furo (domestic ferret). Its description in RNAcentral is "lncRNA (ENSMPUG00000025052.1)". The record is from RNAcentral. Lineage: Eukaryota; Metazoa; Chordata; Mammalia; Carnivora; Mustelidae.
UCUUUUCAAGUAGACUCCAUUCCUAGUGUGGAGCCCAACACAGAGCUGGAUCUCACAAUCCCAAGAAAGAUCAAGACCUGAGACAAGACCAGGAGUCAGAUGCUCACCAGACAGAGCCACUCCAGCGCCCCCUGGAGGAGUUUCAUGGGGCAGUCAUGUGCUAUAUGAUAUAAUGAAUCCCUGAUCUACAUAUCAUAGACGAAUGGAAUAACAGAUUGCUGCGUGGUCUCCUGCAAAGCAUGAAAAUUGGCUAUAGCCAA